CAUUCUUGAUUGAAGCUAUGGAUAAGAUGUUUAUUAUCAACUUAUUUUCAUGUAAAGUGUGAUUUUUUACAGGAAAUGGGUGCAGCCCACGAAGGUAGCGCACAGGAAGGUCAGACAGAGGCCCCAUCAAGAGAUGACAAAAUAAAUACCCAUUUUAUUGCCUUUGUUUGUAAAGGCUCUGAUCUUUAUGAACUUGACGGUAGAAAAACUGGACCAGUAUUACAUGGAAAAACAACCCCAGACACUUUACUUGAGGUAAAUGUUGUUUCUCUCUUUCUUGGAUUG
This is a long non-coding RNA of Ruditapes philippinarum (Manila clam), 285 nucleotides long. RefSeq lists it as uncharacterized. Lineage: Eukaryota; Metazoa; Mollusca; Bivalvia; Venerida; Veneridae. The transcript is spliced from 3 exons. The record is from RefSeq and is a predicted model, not a curated record.